This 555-nucleotide ribosomal RNA is filed under the name Salmonella enterica subsp. enterica serovar Montevideo. RNAcentral describes it as "partial 23S ribosomal RNA". It matches the Rfam family "Bacterial large subunit ribosomal RNA", at positions 911 to 1462 of the family's 2925-position model. The record is from RNAcentral. Lineage: Bacteria; Pseudomonadati; Pseudomonadota; Gammaproteobacteria; Enterobacterales; Enterobacteriaceae.
UGUUUCGGCUAGGGGGCCAUCCCGGCUUACCAACCCGAUGCAAACUGCGAAUACCGGAGAAUGUUAUCACGGGAGACACACGGCGGGUGCUAACGUCCGUCGUGAAGAGGGAAACAACCCAGACCGCCAGCUAAGGUCCCAAAGUCAUGGUUAAGUGGGAAACGAUGUGGGAAGGCCCAGACAGCCAGGAUGUUGGCUUAGAAGCAGCCAUCAUUUAAAGAAAGCGUAAUAGCUCACUGGUCGAGUCGGCCUGCGCGGAAGAUGUAACGGGGCUAAACCAUGCACCGAAGCUGCGGCAGCGACGCUGAUGCGUUGUUGGGUAGGGGAGCGUUCUGUAAGCCUGCGAAGGUGGCCUGUGAGGGUUGCUGGAGGUAUCAGAAGUGCGAAUGCUGACAUAAGUAACGAUAAAGCGGGUGAAAAGCCCGCUCGCCGGAAGACCAAGGGUUCCUGUCCAACGUUAAUCGGGGCAGGGUGAGUCGACCCCUAAGGCGAGGCCGAAAGGCGUAGUCGAUGGGAAACGGGUUAAUAUUCCCGUACUUGGUGUUACUGCGAAGG